GGGUCGGUGUCCGAGUGGUUAAAGGAGACGGACUGUAAAUCCGUUGGCUCUGCCUACGUUGGUUCAAAUCCAACCCGGCCCA
RNAcentral lists this transfer RNA (82 nucleotides) under Gloeobacter violaceus PCC 7421. RNAcentral's name for it is "tRNA-Tyr (GTA) (tRNA-Tyr-GTA-1-1)". It matches the Rfam family "tRNA". From Rfam's summary of the family: Transfer RNA (tRNA) molecules are approximately 80 nucleotides in length. Their secondary structure includes four short double-helical elements and three loops (D, anti-codon, and T loops). Lineage: Bacteria; Bacillati; Cyanobacteriota; Cyanophyceae; Gloeobacterales; Gloeobacteraceae. RNAcentral also lists the same sequence under 2 other names. The record is from Rfam by way of RNAcentral.